UAGGGAAUAUUGGACAAUGGGGGCAACCCUGAUCCAGCCAUGCCGCGUGAGUGAAGAAGGCCCUCGGGUUGUAAAGCUCUUUUGUCCGGAAAGAAAAGCUUCGGGUUAAUACCCCGGGGUUCUGACGGUACCGGAAGAAUAAGCACCGGCUAACUACGUGCCAGCAGCCGCGGUAAUACGUAGGGUGCGAGCGUUAAUCGGAAUUACUGGGCGUAAAGCGUGCGCAGGCGGUUUUGUAAGACAGAGGUGAAAUCCCCGGGCUCAACCUGGGAACUGCCUUUGUGACUGCAAGGCUGGAGUGCGGCAGAGGGGGAUGGAAUUCCGCGUGUAGCAGUGAAAUGCGUAGAUAUGCGGAGGAACACCGAUGGCGAAGGCAAUCCCCUGGGCCUGCACUGACGCGCAUGCACGAAAGUGUGGGGAGCAAACA
Molecule: ribosomal RNA, 427 nt
Filed under: uncultured bacterium
Lineage: Bacteria
Description: bacterial SSU rRNA
Rfam family: Bacterial small subunit ribosomal RNA
Source: RNAcentral